UACUAAUGCAACUGCGAAUAGCUGUUUAAUACAGUCGCAAUUGUAUUGACUUUGUAAUAUAUAUAAAUAAAUGUUAUCUUUGGAUAACUAAGGGAAAGUUUGGCUAAUACGUUUAAUGUAUUAAUAAUACACAUUCAUAUAAUAAUAAUACAACAUGAUUGAUAUUAUAUAAAUAUAAAAUACAUUUAUUGUAUUUUAAAUAGAGAUGACUUUAUAAUAUUUAAUUAUUAUAAAGCAUGUCAAACAAGCAUCUAUAGCAUCAAGUCACAAUGUUGGCAUGUGUAUUAUUGAACCUUCAAAGCAUUUACGCAUUCGGAGGAGUAGUUUCUGAUCCCGUCGAAGGUGCCUGAGAGACGGCACUUAGUUCUAAGGAACGCAGCAGGCGCGUAAAUUGCCCAAUGACAAAACAUGUUAAUAUAUAAUAUAAAAAUAUACACUCAAUUUAAUUGAGGCAGUGACAAGCUGUAAAGAUUCAAUAUAAAAAUAAAGAUAACAUUUGGAAUUGUCGCUUUAUAAUAUUUAUAUUAUAUUGCUUGAUAAUAUACCAAUGUUAUAAAAUAUUGAAUUUGAAUGCGGUGAAUGUAAUAAUUUCAAGUAACAUGUAUAAAAUAGUAAUAUUUUAUAUGUUAUCUGAAUUUUCAAGUGGAGGGCAAGUCUGGUGCCAGCAGCCGCGGUAAUACCAGCUCCACUAGCUUAUACAAUCAUUGUUGCGGUUAAGAGGCUCGUAGUUGGAUUGAAUAAAAUAUAUACACAACACUGUGAACAAAUCAGAGUGUAUAAAACAUGUAAUAUUAAUUAUUAGCAAUGAAUGUUUUAUCAUGGGAUAUUGCUAAUAAUAUAUAAUAUAAUAUAAACAUGUUAUGUCGAUGGAGAUAGUUGGAGUUAAGAGUACUGAUAGGCGAGCGGUGAAAUGCAUUGACCCUAUUAAGACUAACAAAAGCGAAAGCACUUAACUAGAUUAUUCUCUUUGUAUUAUUACAAUGAAGAGCGAAGGUUGGGGGAACAAAGAGGAUCAGAUACCCUCGUAGUCCUAUUUUUACAUCAAACUAUGGGAUUUCAAUUGAAUAUAGAUAUAUACCCUCAACUUAAAUAUUAAUAUGAUUGAGUAUAAUUAUAUACUCUCAUAUAUAUAUUAAUGUUGAUAAAUAUUUGAUUAUAUGUACUUUGCGCUCAUAUAAUUAUAUAGGUGAGAUGUAAGCAUUAUUAAUGAUUAAUAUACUUAUAAUUUUUAAUAAUUAUAAUGUAUUAUUAUGAUUUAAAUAUAAAAAUGUAAUGUGAUGCACGUUUUAGGUACGAGCUUACUAUAGAAAUAUUUAAAAUAAUACCCUCCUGGGGUAGUAUGCACGCAAGUGUGAAACUUGAAGGAAUUGACGGAAGGGCACCACAAGAACGCGUGGAGCAUGUGGCUUAAUUUGACUCAACGCGGGAAAUCUUACCAGGUCCAGACAUAUUGAGGAUUGACAGGCGAUAGUAUUAUUAUAUAUUAUAUAUAUAAUAAUGCAUAAAAAUGAUAGUCCUUUCAUGAUUAUAUGAUAGGUGGUGCAUGGCCGUUCUUAGUUCGUGGAGUGAUUUGUCUGCUUAAUUGCGUUUCAGUAAAUAAAAUAUAUAAUAUUACAUUAAUAUUUAGUUCUGCCUUUAUGGAUUUAAAGUGAACAUAUUAUGUUAAUAUUAUUAUAUAAUAAAUGAAUGCAACGAACGUGACCGUAACCUUUUAUUGCUAUAAUAAUAUUUAUAAUAUAUUAAUAUAUAGCAUAAAAUUAAAGGAACCGCUGUCAUUAUUAUAUGUGUUAAAAUAGAGUAAGAAUACGGCAAUAACAGGUCUGUGAUGCCCUCAGAUGUUCUGGGCUGCACACGUGCUACAAUAAUUACAUUAAUAAGUAUAUAUUGUACACAUAAUGAUAUAUUAUAUCAUUAUAAUAAACCUAUUUCGAAAGUAAAUGGGCAAUCAUUUAAAAAUCGUGAUUAAUAUAAUAACUACAUUAAUAAUACAUAAUAUUAUAUAUUAUAUAUAAUAUAUGUAGUAGUAUUAUUUAAUUUAAGGUGGGGAUAGUGUAUUGUUAAUUAUUACACUUGGCCUUAACUAGGAAUGCCUUGUACUCUUCUUUGGUUUAACAUACCAAGAGGAAUACGUCCCUGCCCUUUGUACACACCGCCCGUCGCUCUUACCGAUGAAUUAUAUUAUAAAUCUAAGGGACUUAUAAUAUUAAUUUAAUAGGAAACUUAUAUACAUAAUGUGAUUUAAAGGAAAGAGAAGUCGUAACAAGGCAUCAGUAGGUGAACCU
Molecule: ribosomal RNA, 2282 nt
Filed under: Laevipeneroplis sp. 2264
Lineage: Eukaryota; Foraminifera; Miliolida; Soritidae
Description: SSU rRNA
Rfam family: Eukaryotic small subunit ribosomal RNA
Source: RNAcentral